CCACCCACAGCAGGAAAGCAUCCUGCCAACGUGUUUACUCACUGCUGGGAUGAGCACACCCAAGAUGAGAAAGUUCUCUUAACCAUGACAGGAAACCAUUUUCCGUCACAGUCCUUUGGGUGUUUUACAAACACCGCAGGAGGAAGCUCUGCCUUCGGGACCUGCCAAGGACACCGAGGGCACCUGAUGGUGGUGCAGGGGACAGCAGUGCCCGGCUGUGACUCCUCCUGCCAGGGCACUGUGGGAGCAACACACGGCUGGAUUAAGUGACAGGAGCAGCGUCAGGGGAGGUGAGACACCUCC
This is a long non-coding RNA of Corapipo altera (White-ruffed manakin), 303 nucleotides long. RefSeq lists it as uncharacterized. The transcript is spliced from 3 exons. The record is from RefSeq and is a predicted model, not a curated record. NCBI's taxonomy places the organism in Eukaryota, Metazoa, Chordata, Aves, Passeriformes, Pipridae.